AAAUAUGAAAUAAGCAAUGAAUUUCAUAUUCAAAAAAAAGGGCUCUGCAAGAGGACGUGCAGUGAGGGACAGAAGCACCAGCCCUCCCAUCAGUGGCUUCCACGCGCAGUGUCGGUGCAAACCACCGGUGAGGCACACUUGUGUAGUGAGCGCAGCAGCAGCAGGGCGGACGUGCAUUCCUGUCCACAGCCAUGGUGGUGAGGUCUGGCAGAAGAGCUGCAGCUCCGUGGGUGGAAAAUGUGCUUUGCUUCAUUGAGGUGAGUCACGUUGCAAGGUGCUGUCGUACGCAGAGGCCACGCUCCACAUUGGAGGGGUGACACUAAGUGAGGACCGCAACAAAUGAUGAAAUAAGGCCA
Molecule: long non-coding RNA, 356 nt
Filed under: Calidris pugnax (ruff)
Lineage: Eukaryota; Metazoa; Chordata; Aves; Charadriiformes; Scolopacidae
Description: lncRNA (ENSCPUG00000001775.1)
Source: RNAcentral